CCCAGGCAGGCGUGCCCUCGGCCAAGAGGCCUCGGGCGCAACUUGCGUUCAAAGACUCGAUGGUUCGCGGGAUUCUGCAAUUCACACCAGGUAUCGCAUUUCGCUACGUUCUUCAUCGAUGCGAGAGCCGAGAUAUCCGUUGCCGAGAGUCGUGUGGAUUAUAUAGAAUUGCAACUCGGGGUGCGGCUAGCAAGCCAGCCACAUCCCCUCGUUAGGCACAGUGUUCCUUGACGCCUWCGGCGCCGUGGGUUCUUUUACCCCGAGCCC
RNAcentral lists this ribosomal RNA (267 nucleotides) under Lolium multiflorum (Italian ryegrass). Its description in RNAcentral is "5.8S ribosomal RNA". The record is from RNAcentral. Lineage: Eukaryota; Viridiplantae; Streptophyta; Magnoliopsida; Poales; Poaceae.